GACGAACCACACAAACGUUAUUCGGAAUUACUGGGCUUAAAGGGUGCGUAGGCUGCGCGGAAAGUUGGGUGUGAAAUCCCUCGGCUUAACCGAGGAACUGCGCCCAAAACUACCGUGCUCGAGGAAGAUAGAGGUGAGCGGAACUUACGGUGGAGCGGUGAAAUGCGUUGAUAUCGUAAGGAACACCCGUGGCGAAAGCGGCUCACUGGGUCUUUUCUGACGCUGAUGCACGAAAGCUAGGGGAGCAAACGGG
RNAcentral lists this ribosomal RNA (253 nucleotides) under uncultured bacterium. RNAcentral's name for it is "partial 16S ribosomal RNA". It matches the Rfam family "Bacterial small subunit ribosomal RNA", at positions 524 to 776 of the family's 1533-position model. The record is from RNAcentral.